CAGUCGCCGCGGUAAUACAGAGGGUGCGAGCGUUAAUCGGAUUUACUGGGCGUAAAGCGUGCGUAGGCGGCUAAUUGAGUCGGAUGUGAAAUCCCCGAGCUUAACUUGGGAAUUGCAUUCGAUACUGGUUAGCUAGAGUGUGGGAGAGGAUGGUAGAAUUCCAGGUGUAGCGGUGAAAUGCGUAGAGAUCUGGAGGAAUACCGAUGGCGAAGGCGGCCCCCUGGACAAAGACUGACGCUCAGGUGCGAAAGCGUGGGGAGCAAACAGGAUUAGAUACCCCUGUAGUCCCUGUCUCUUAUAC
This 301-nucleotide ribosomal RNA is filed under the name uncultured bacterium. RNAcentral describes it as "partial 16S ribosomal RNA". It matches the Rfam family "Bacterial small subunit ribosomal RNA", at positions 509 to 807 of the family's 1533-position model. The record is from RNAcentral.